GGUUAAGUUAACAAGGGCGCAUGGUGAAUGCCUUGGCACUAGGAGCCGAUGAAGGACGGGACUAACACCGAUAUGCUUCGGGGAGCUGUACGUAAGCUAUGAUCCGGAGAUUUCCGAAUGGGGCAACCCAGCAGUUUUAAUCAACUGUUACCACUAGAUGAAUUCAUAGUCUAGUUGGAGGUAAACGCUGUGAACUGAAACAUCUCAUUAGCAGCAGGAAUAUAAAGAAAUUUCGAUUCCCUAAGUAGCGGCGAGCGAACGGGGAACAGCCCAAACCAAAGUGCUUGCACUUUGGGGUUGUAGGACUGAACAUUUGAGUUACCAAAGAACUUGAUAGUCGAAGGAUUUGGGAAAAUCCGCCAUAGAUGGUGAUAGCCCAGUAGAUUAAAUCAAAUUCUCUCAGUUCAGGAUCCUGAGUACGGCGGAACACGUGAAAUUCCGUCGGAAUCCGGGAGGACCAUCUCCCAAGGCUAAAUACUACCUAGUGACCGAUAGUGAACCAGUACCGUGAGGGAAAGGUGAAAAGCACCCCGGGAGGGGAGUGAAAUAGUUCCUGAAACCAUGUGCCUACAAUAAGUCAGAGCGCGUUAAUGCGUGAUGGCGUGCCUUUUGUAGAAUGAACCGGCGAGUUAUGAUCCCGUGCAAGGUUAAGACUAAAAAGUCGGAGCCGUAGCGAAAGCGAGUCUGAAAUGGGCGUUUUGAGUACGAGGUUAUAGACCCGAAACCAGGUGACCUAUCCAUGUCCAGGUUGAAGGUGCGGUAAAACGCACUGGAGGACCGAACCCGUGUAAGUUGAAAAUUGCUGGGAUGAGGUGUGGAUAGCGGUGAAAUUCCAAACGAACUUGGAGAUAGCUGGUUCUCUCCGAAAUAGCUUAGGGCUAGCCUCGGAAUUAGGAUCAUGGAGGUAGAGCACUAUUUGGACUAGGGGCCCGUCUUGGGUUACUGAAUUCAGAUAAACUCCGAAUGCCAUUGAUUCAUAUCCGGGAGUCAGACGAUGAGUGAUAAGAUCCACCGUCGAAAGGGGAACAGCCCAGACCAUCAGUUAAGGUCCCUAAAUGUAUGCUAAGUGGAAAAGGAUGUGGAGUUGCAUAGACAACUAGGAUGUUGGCUCAGAAGCAGCCACCAUUUAAAGAGUGCGUAAUAGCUCACUAGUCGAGUGAUCCUGCGCCGAAAAUGUACCGGGGCUAAGCAUACUACCGAAACCAUGGAUGCGACCAUUAGGUCGCGUGAUAGGAGAGCGUUCUAAGGGCGGUGAAGCAAGAUCGUGAGGACUUGUGGAGCGCUUAGAAGUGAGAAUGCCGGUAUGAGUAGCGAAAGAUAGGUGAGAAUCCUAUCCACCGAAUGACUAAGGUUUCCUGGGGAAGGCUCGUCCUCCCAGGGUUAGUCGGGACCUAAGUCGAGGCCGAGAGGCGUAGACGAUGGAUAACAGGUUGAGAUUCCUGUACUAGUUAAGUGCGUUUGAGCAAUGGAGGGACGCAGGAGGCUAAGAUGUGCAUUCUGUUGGAUUAGAAUGUCCAAGCAGUAAGUCUUGUGAAGAGUCAAAUGCUUUUCACUUUAAGGACAAGCUGUGAUGGGGAGCGAAAUUUAGUAGCGAAGCGUCUGAUGUCACACUGCCGAGAAAAGCUUCUAGUGAGUACUUAACUACCCGUACCGCAAACCGACACAGGUAGUCGAGGAGAGAAUCCUAAGGUGAGCGAGUGAACUCUCGUUAAGGAACUCGGCAAAAUGACCCCGUAACUUCGGGAGAAGGGGUGCUGAUCGCAAGAUCAGCCGCAGUGAAUAGGCCCAGGCGACUGUUUAUCAAAAACACAGGUCUCUGCAAAAUCGUAAGAUGACGUAUAGGGGCUGACGCCUGCCGUGCUGGAAGGUUAAAAGGAUGGGUUAGCUUCGGCGAAGCUCAGAAUUGAAGCCCCAGUAAACGGCGGCCGUAACUAUAACGGUCCUAAGGUAGCGAAAUUCCUUGUCGGGUAAGUUCCGACCCGCACGAAAGGCGUAACGAUCUGGGCACUGUCUCAACGAGAGACUCGGUGAAAUUAUAUUGUCCGUGAAGAUGCGGGACUACCCGCGACAGGACGGAAAGACCCCAGCUUUACUGUAGCUUGAUAUUGAGUGUUUGUACAGCUUGUACAGGAUAGGUAGGUAGGAGCCAUAGAAACCGGAACGCUAGUUUCGGUGGAGGCGUUGGUGGGAUACUACCCUCGCUGUAUGACCACUCUAACCCGCACCACUAAUCGUGGUGGGAGACAGUGUCAGGUGGGCAGUUUGACUGGGGCGGUCGCCUCCUAAAAAGUAACGGAGGCGCCCAAAGGUUCCCUCAGAAUGGUUGGAAAUCAUUCGCAGAGUGUAAAGGCACAAGGGCUUGACUGCGAGACAGACAGGUCGAGCAGGGACGAAAGUCGGGCUUAGUGAUCCGGUGGUACCGUAUGGAAGGGCCAUCGCUCAACGGAUAAAAGCUACCCUGGGGAUAACAGGCUUAUCUCCCCCAAGAGUCCACAUCGACGGGGAGGUUUGGCACCUCGAUGUCGGCUCAUCGCAUCCUGGGGCUGUAGUCGGUCCCAAGGGUUGGGCUGUUCGCCCAUUAAAGCGGUACGCGAGCUGGGUUCAGAACGUCGUGAGACAGUUCGGUCCCUAUCCGUCGCGGGCGUAGGAAAUUUGAGAGGACCUGUCCUUAGUACGAGAGGACCGGGAUGGACAUACCUCUGGUGUACCAGUUGUGCCGCCAGGCGCAUCGCUGGGUAGCUACGUAUGGAUGUGAUAAACGCUGAAAGCAUCUAAGUGUGAAACACACCUCGAGAUGAGAUUUCCCAUUCCUUUAUGGAAGUAAGACCCCUGAAAGAUGAUCAGGUAGAUAGGUUAGAAGUGGCAGUGCGGUGACGCAUGAAGCGGACUAAUACUAAUCGGUCGAGGACUUAACCAA
RNAcentral lists this ribosomal RNA (2917 nucleotides) under Lactiplantibacillus plantarum. RNAcentral's name for it is "23S ribosomal RNA". It matches the Rfam family "Bacterial large subunit ribosomal RNA". Lineage: Bacteria; Bacillati; Bacillota; Bacilli; Lactobacillales; Lactobacillaceae. The record is from RNAcentral.